Drosophila miranda is the source of this 1056-nucleotide long non-coding RNA. RefSeq lists it as uncharacterized. NCBI's taxonomy places the organism in Eukaryota, Metazoa, Arthropoda, Insecta, Diptera, Drosophilidae. The record is from RefSeq and is a predicted model, not a curated record. The transcript is spliced from 3 exons.
AGAUAUGUCGUUUCAAAACGUCAUAUCUCCGAGCGGAGAUAUGACGCUUUCAAACGACAUAAGUCCGCCAGAAAAAAAGCGACAUAAUUCCGCCGGCAAAAUUUACUGGGCGGAGAUACAUACAUAUGUAUGUCGUCGGAGAUAUGACGCUAUGCCGGACAGAACCUUAAAUACACACACACACAAUCACACAAAGCCACAUACACGGAAACAGAGCUGCUUUUUGUCAUUUAGUUGAAUAAAACAUUAAUCUGUAAUAAGAUUACUGGAUGCUGAGCAAGGUGGGGGAAAUACGACGCGAUGACUACUGCUUAGACUAUGCCGGCAAGGAAGAGAUACUCUACUCGUGCCACGGCGGCAAGGGAAAUCAGUUUUAGACAUAUCGUGAGAACACCAAGCAACUGCAUCACGGCACCUCCGGCAAGUGUCUGUCCAUCAGCGAGAAGAAGGAUCAGCUGCUCAUGGAGGAAUGCAUACAGUCCCUGACUCGACAUGAAUGGUUGCUGGAGAGCUACGACAGCUCCAAAUUGUGAGGCUACUUCUGUGCGAGGGGCAACGUCCACUUCGCAGCGCCAUCGACAACGAGACAGGCGAGCAUAGCAGCAGCGGCAGCAGCAGCAGAAACAGAAACAGAAACAGCAACAAAAGCGGCAUUGGAAAGUGUAGUCAGAGUGGAAACAGGAGUUGGAAUAGAUUUUCCCCUAUUCUAUUCCAGGCAUGUGCAAUACGCAGGAAAAUGUAGGGAGAAUGGGGGAGUUUGUCAUCAGCAUUAGUUUGCCAUGCUAUAUAAAUAUGAUUGAAAUUUAUAUGUUUCCAAGCAACAUAAUAUAUGUUACAUAGCUAUAAGAAACACACACAGAUCUACAGAUAGACAUACAGACGAACAGACACUUACACUUACAAAAAAAAAAGAACGACUGCUGUACAGUAGCUAUAAGUUUUGAAGGCCUAAAGUCAGCAUGACUUUGGGGCCGUUAGGUUAGAAUCAAGCCAAGACAAGUGCUGGCAAAAAAGAAAAACAAGAAGUUGUAGCGCAUUUUUUGCAUUUAAAUUUGU